GGCGAAACGAAACUUGUGAAUCGUGCAUUUGCUCUUCAUGGUAGCUGCCAGAAAAUCGAAUCAAACUUACGGGACACUGGAUUACAGGUUGCUGCCACUACUCCAUGUGCCCGCAAUUGUCUUGCGUGUAUGAUUACACUAACGGCGUCGCCCACCACGGCGGAAGUGUUUUGCGUACACGCGUUUCAGCAUGAAGCCUGCAGGUGGACGUAAAUUGUAGAAGGCAG
This is a long non-coding RNA of Ornithodoros turicata, 227 nucleotides long. RefSeq lists it as uncharacterized. The record is from RefSeq and is a predicted model, not a curated record. Lineage: Eukaryota; Metazoa; Arthropoda; Arachnida; Ixodida; Argasidae. The transcript has 3 exons.